AUGAGGACGAGGGCUGCUGAUGCCCCAUGGCGGGCGGGGCACCUAGACGAGGAGGAGGCUGCGGCCUCGGUGACGAAGCCUUGCUGGUGGUCGGCCGAUGACAGAGGCACCGGCUCGCCGGUGAUGAGGAAGAAGCAGGGCGGCGGAGCGGAGCCAAGCAGUAACUUGGACGGCAAGGCCAGGAGAAGCAGAGGACGGGGAGGCGAGGAGAAGCAGAGGACGGGGAGGACGGCGAGGCUUUGGGCGGAGGCGGAGUUAAUUGGCUUCAAAGAAGGAGAGCCCUGGCCGGACUAUGGCCAACAGGAUUGGGAUGUGGAAGACGAAGAAAUUCGAUGCCCACCCACCACCCACUUCGUAGCCACUAUCGAUGAUUUAACCGACAUGCUUGACUUCGACUAUGAAGACAUCGACAGACCUUAA
Molecule: ribosomal RNA, 420 nt
Filed under: Triticum aestivum (bread wheat)
Lineage: Eukaryota; Viridiplantae; Streptophyta; Magnoliopsida; Poales; Poaceae
Description: partial small subunit ribosomal RNA
Source: RNAcentral